GGAAGGGAAAGUCCACAUGUCCCAGGGGCCCUUGCAGCAGGCCCCAGCUCCUGGGGGAAGACCAGCAACCGUUUCCCCCAUCCUCAGGGGUCAUGUAUCUCCAGAAAAGACACGUUCAGUUCCUCAACCUGGCCUGUGGAUGGGGGCCUUACUUGUAAAUAAGUUUUUGCAGGUGUGACCAAGGUCAAAUGAGGUCACAGGAUGGGUCACACAUCCAAGGACUGCUGUCCUCAGAGGAAGAGGAGAUGGCCAGGGAUGGGACGAGCGCAGCCACAGUUACAGCAAAAACAGGAGUGAACAGCCUUUGGCACAUACCAGCCUAACAGACCUGCAAGAGAUUUGGAGAAGGAAAUGGCAACCCACUCUAGUCUUCUUGCCUGGAGAAUCCCAUGAACAGAGGAGCCUUCUGGGCUGCCGUCUACAGGGUCGCACAGAGUCGGACACAACUGAAGAGACUUAGCAGCAGCAGCCAUGUAGAUUAUGCUCUGGACCUAGCACUCUUCACCCCAUAUGCCCUCUUUGUAGCAUCCUGCAUUUCAGAAAGAAGGUCGGGGCCGAUAACUUCAUGGACACCAGACCCGGCUGCUACCUGAUGCCAGCUGUGGCUGUUUUGAUACUUUGCAAGAGAAUAAAAAACAUGAGACCUUCAAGAGGAAUAUAAAACCUCUCCCUAUUCCUGAGAAAAGGGGGCACAGUUCUUGAGGCACUAGCCUGCUGUGUUUCCAUCUUGCCUGGCACAGAUAAUAAAGCUACUCUUCUCUACUUC
Cervus elaphus (red deer) is the source of this 766-nucleotide long non-coding RNA. RefSeq lists it as uncharacterized. The transcript has 2 exons. The record is from RefSeq and is a predicted model, not a curated record. NCBI's taxonomy places the organism in Eukaryota, Metazoa, Chordata, Mammalia, Artiodactyla, Cervidae.